CCUACGGGUCGCUGCAGUGGGGAAUAUUGCACAAUGGGCGCAAGCCUGAUGCAGCCAUGCCGCGUGUGUGAAGAAGGCCUUCGGGUUGUAAAGCACUUUCAGCGGGGAGGAAGGCGGUGAGGUUAAUAACCUUGUCGAUUGACGUUACCCGCAGAAGAAGCACCGGCUAACUCCGUGCCAGCAGCCGCGGUAAUACGGAGGGUGCAAGCGUUAAUCGGAAUUACUGGGCGUAAAGCGCACGCAGGCGGUCUGUCAAGUCGGAUGUGAAAUCCCCGGGCUCAACCUGGGAACUGCAUUCGAAACUGGCAGGCUAGAGUCUUGUAGAGGGGGGUAGAAUUCCAGGUGUAGCGGUGAAAUGCGUAGAGAUCUGGAGGAAUACCGGUGGCGAAGGCGGCCCCCUGGACAAAGACUGACGCUCAGGUGCGAAAGCGUGGGGAGCAAACAGGAUUAGAUACCCGAGUAGUC
This 465-nucleotide ribosomal RNA is filed under the name uncultured Klebsiella sp. Its description in RNAcentral is "bacterial SSU rRNA". It matches the Rfam family "Bacterial small subunit ribosomal RNA", at positions 338 to 795 of the family's 1533-position model. The record is from RNAcentral. Lineage: Bacteria; Pseudomonadati; Pseudomonadota; Gammaproteobacteria; Enterobacterales; Enterobacteriaceae.